RNAcentral lists this ribosomal RNA (465 nucleotides) under Vreelandella stevensii. RNAcentral's name for it is "partial 16S ribosomal RNA". It matches the Rfam family "Bacterial small subunit ribosomal RNA", at positions 338 to 795 of the family's 1533-position model. Lineage: Bacteria; Pseudomonadati; Pseudomonadota; Gammaproteobacteria; Oceanospirillales; Halomonadaceae. The record is from RNAcentral.
CCUACGGGUGGCAGCAGUGGGGAAUAUUGGACAAUGGGCGAAAGCCUGAUCCAGCCAUGCCGCGUGUGUGAAGAAGGCCUUCGGGUUGUAAAGCACUUUCAGUGGGGAAGAAAGCCUUGGGGCUAAUACCCUCGAGGAAGGACAUCACCCACAGAAGAAGCACCGGCUAACUCCGUGCCAGCAGCCGCGGUAAUACGGAGGGUGCGAGCGUUAAUCGGAAUUACUGGGCGUAAAGCGCGCGUAGGCGGUCUGAUAAGCCGGUUGUGAAAGCCCCGGGCUCAACCUGGGAACGGCAUCCGGAACUGUUAGGCUAGAGUGCAGGGGAGGAAGGUAGAAUUCCCGGUGUAGCGGUGAAAUGCGUAGAGAUCGGGAGGAAUACCAGUGGCGAAGGCGGCCUUCUGGACUGACACUGACGCUGAGGUGCGAAAGCGUGGGUAGCAAACAGGAUUAGAUACCCUUGUAGUC